AUUUAAAUGUUCAUUACGUAGAACUGAAUUCAAAAUUUUUGGACAAUUUUUCUAGCGGUAAGGGAACAACCAUUUGUUUUCAAAAGGGGGUGGGGUGGAAAUGGAAAUAUUCCGUUCCCCAAUUUGAUAAAAAAAAAAGUGGUCAUACACAUGAUAAAAAAAAAUUAUUCUGAAUCAAGAGUUUCCCCAUACAUUAUAGUGUUAAACAUUGAAAAAAAAGUAUUUGACCACCAGCAUCGAAAAAAAAGGAAUAAAAACGUACGCGCG
This 267-nucleotide long non-coding RNA is filed under the name Mytilus galloprovincialis (Mediterranean mussel). Lineage: Eukaryota; Metazoa; Mollusca; Bivalvia; Mytilida; Mytilidae. The record is from RNAcentral.